CUCCAAUCCACAUAGUGCUGAGGCAGUGAAGUUUGUGUUCCAGGAACUUCAGAAUUCCUGAAUGUAUUGGGGUUGAUAAAAGGUAGAAAUCGCCUUGUGACCCAACAGCAGCCAAUAAGAUGGAAAUAAAGGCUACGAAAUUAUCAGAAGGCAUCUACAAGGAAUACUUAGAUGAGGAGGUGACUCUGGUGGCAGUUGUUCUUUUGUCUUUCUCACCUUCCUUCUUGUCCUGUCUAGGAUGCUGAAGUGAUGGCUGGUAUACAGAUGCCCUGUUGUGAUGUUGAGAUAAACAUGAGAAUAAAAGUCCGCGAUUACAGAUGGCAGAGAAGAGACAGAAAGAUAGGAUGUAGGUGGAUAUUGAUGGAACUAAGUUUCUAUUACACAAGUUCUACCACUAACCUCUGGACUUCAUGAUAUGUGAGGGAGAAAUAAACUCAUAUUUUAGAAGAGAUCUAUGUUACCUGCAACUGAACGGAAUGCCUAAUUGGCACAUCCUAUGUGCUCCAAACCUUCCUUAAUUUCUAUGUGUAAGGCAUACUCAGUCUUUACCCAUUAUUCUGUUCACAUCCAUUCACUCAAUCAGCCUCCCAACUCUUUAGUAAAGAGUUUACUAUAGUUUACUCUAUUACUAAGGCAGAUUCUGGAGCAAGCCCCACAAAUCAUAGAUUGAAUAUCCAUUCAUUACAAGAGAGAGAUUUAAAGAUACUUCUAUCCAAACACAUUUUAAAU
This is a long non-coding RNA of Nomascus leucogenys (northern white-cheeked gibbon), 729 nucleotides long. RefSeq lists it as uncharacterized. The transcript is spliced from 2 exons. The record is from RefSeq and is a predicted model, not a curated record. Lineage: Eukaryota; Metazoa; Chordata; Mammalia; Primates; Hylobatidae.